UGAUAUUGUUCCCUGUUGUCACCUCCU
Molecule: non-coding RNA, 27 nt
Filed under: Rattus norvegicus (Norway rat)
Lineage: Eukaryota; Metazoa; Chordata; Mammalia; Rodentia; Muridae
Source: RNAcentral